RNAcentral lists this ribosomal RNA (505 nucleotides) under uncultured bacterium. Its description in RNAcentral is "partial 16S ribosomal RNA". It matches the Rfam family "Bacterial small subunit ribosomal RNA", at positions 28 to 507 of the family's 1533-position model. The record is from RNAcentral.
GACGAACGCUGGCGGCGUGCCUAAUACAUGCCAGUAGAACGCACAGUUUAUACCGUAGCUUGCUACACCAUAGACUGUGAGUUGCGAACGGGUGAGUAACGCGUAGGUAACCUGCCUGGUAGCGGGGGAUAACUAUUGGAAACGAUAGCUAAUACCGCAUAAUAUUAAUUAUUGCAUGAUAAUUAAUUGAAAGGUGCAAUUGCACCACUACCAGAUGGACCUGCGUUGUAUUAGCUAGUAGGUGAGGUAACGGCUCACCUAGGCGACGAUACAUAGCCGACCUGAGAGGGUGAUCGGCCACACUGGGACUGAGACACGGCCCAGACUCCUACGGGAGGCAGCAGUAGGGAAUCUUCGGCAAUGGACGAAAGUCUGACCGAGCAACGCCGCGUGAGUGAAGAAGGUUUUCGGAUCGUAAAGCUCUGUUGUAAGAGAAGAACGGGUGUGAGAGUGGAAAGUUCACACUGUGACGGUAUCUUAACAGAAAGGGACGGCUAACUACGUG